RNAcentral lists this ribosomal RNA (541 nucleotides) under Pichia kluyveri. RNAcentral's name for it is "partial large subunit ribosomal RNA". It matches the Rfam family "Eukaryotic large subunit ribosomal RNA", at positions 97 to 656 of the family's 3401-position model. Lineage: Eukaryota; Fungi; Ascomycota; Pichiomycetes; Pichiales; Pichiaceae. The record is from RNAcentral.
AGCGGCAAGAGCUCAGAUUUGAAAUCUCACCUAGUGUGCGAGUUGUAAAUUGCAGGUUGGAGUCUCGGGUUAGACGUGUGUGCAAGUCCCUUGGAACAGGGUGCCACUGAGGGUGAGAGCCCCGUAUCGUGCAUGUCGACACCUGUGAGGCCCUUCUGACGAGUCGAGUUGUUUGGGAAUGCAGCUCUAAGUGGGUGGUAAAUUCCAUCUAAGGCUAAAUAUUGGCGAGAGACCGAUAGCGAACAAGUACUGUGAAGGAAAGAUGAAAAGCACUUUGAAAAGAGAGUGAAACAGCACGUGAAAUUGUUGAAAGGGAAGGGUAUUGGGCUCGACAUGGGAUUUACGCAUCGUUGCCUCUCGUGGGCGGCGCUCUGGGUUUUUCCUGGGCCAGCAUCGGUUUUCGUUGCAGGAUAAGGACAAUUGGAAUGUGGCUCCUCGGAGUGUUAUAGCCUUUUGUAGAUGCUGCGUAUGGGGACCGAGGGCUGCGGCGGACUCGUUUCGUCUCGGAUGCUGGCACAACGGCGCAAUACCGCCCGUCUUG